GACGAACGCUGGCGGCGUGCUUAACACAUGCAAGUCGAACGGAAAGGCCCUGCUUUUGUGGGGUGCUCGAGUGGCGAACGGGUGAGUAACACGUGAGUAACCUGCCCUUGACUUUGGGAUAACUUCAGGAAACUGGGGCUAAUACCGGAUAGGAGCUCCUGCUGCAUGGUGGGGGUUGGAAAGGUUCGGCGGUUGGGGAUGGACUCGCGGCUUAUCAGCAUGUUGGUGGGGUAGUGGCUUACCAAGGCUUUGACGGGUAGCCGGCCUGAGAGGGUGACCGGCCACAUUGGGACUGAGAUACGGCCCAGACUCCUACGGGAGGCAGCAGUGGGGAAUAUUGCACAAUGGGCGGAAGCCUGAUGCAGCAACGCCGCGUGCGGGAUGACGGCCUUCGGGUUGUAAACCGCUUUCGCCUGUGACGAAGCGUGAGUGACGGUAAUGGGUAAAGAAGCACCGGCUAACUACGUG
RNAcentral lists this ribosomal RNA (468 nucleotides) under uncultured bacterium. RNAcentral describes it as "partial 16S ribosomal RNA". It matches the Rfam family "Bacterial small subunit ribosomal RNA", at positions 28 to 507 of the family's 1533-position model. The record is from RNAcentral.